Molecule: ribosomal RNA, 252 nt
Filed under: uncultured bacterium
Lineage: Bacteria
Description: partial 16S ribosomal RNA
Rfam family: Bacterial small subunit ribosomal RNA
Source: RNAcentral
UACGGAGGAUGCGAGCGUUAUCCGGAUUUAUUGGGUUUAAAGGGUGCGUAGGCGGACUGUCAAGUCAGCGGUAAAAUUGAGAGGCUCAACCUCUUCCCGCCGUUGAAACUGGUGGUCUUGAGUGGAUGAGAAGUACGCGGAAUGCGUGGUGUAGCGGUGAAAUGCAUAGAUAUCACGCAGAACUCCGAUUGCGAAGGCAACGUACCGGCAUCCAACUGACGCUGAGGCACGAAAGCGUGGGGAUCAAACAGG